RNAcentral lists this transfer RNA (58 nucleotides) under Ictidomys tridecemlineatus (thirteen-lined ground squirrel). RNAcentral's name for it is "Spermophilus tridecemlineatus (thirteen-lined ground squirrel) tRNA". It matches the Rfam family "tRNA". Rfam says of the family: Transfer RNA (tRNA) molecules are approximately 80 nucleotides in length. Their secondary structure includes four short double-helical elements and three loops (D, anti-codon, and T loops). The record is from Rfam by way of RNAcentral. Lineage: Eukaryota; Metazoa; Chordata; Mammalia; Rodentia; Sciuridae.
GGGGGUAUAGCUAAGUGGUAAAGCACAUACUUAAUAUGCAUGAGACCCAGUGCCCUCA